GGGUCUCCGGGAAGGAAGCUUUGCCCAAAGGAGGGACAGGUAGACGGGUCAAAAAGAAGGGUUAUCAAAUCACAGCCAAAUUUCUGUAUUUUUUUAAUAUGACGUGUUAGUGAAAGUGUUAGUCACUUCAGUCGUGUCCAACUCUUUGCGACCCCAUGGACUGUAGCCCGCCAGGCUCCUCUGUCCAUGGGGUUUCCCAGGCAAGAACAGUAGAGUGGGUUGACAUGCCCUCCUCCAGGAGAUCUUCCCGACCCAGAGAUUGAACCCAGGUCUCCAGCAUUUCAGGUGGAUUCUUUUCUGUCUCAGCCACCUCGGAACCUGCAGCUGCAAACACUUCACCCAUCUCUGCGGCUCUGCUGUGACAUGGCUUCCCCUCCGCAAUCUUUCCCUCCCUGAUCUUUCUUUCCUGUCCUCCAGGAUCUCCAUUUGUCUUCCGUGCAAAGAGACAAGGGAGGGGGAGACGGGAGAGAGUCCAAGUUCUGGGCACACAGGACACAGGGUGGGGCGGCUGUUUGGAAAACGGGGAGCUGUUGGCGCAGAGAACCAGGACCGUAGCGAGGAGGUCUCGGUCCCUGCCAAGGCCUGACGUUCCCCCACCUGCCAGUCACGGGAGAGAUUGGCGUCUCAUCUGACUGACGGAGACUACGCUUUCUCAUCAGACCAGAGGCACCCUCCCCCACCGCCAGGGCAGAGGCUGUAUUCCUCCCCGCCCCCCGCCGCCCCGCAUUAGAUUGCUUGCUCCCCAGAAUAGGGGAGCCUCCUCCAUUUGCCUGAGAGCUUUCCUUUGGCAGGGGAUCUGUCCCC
Bos taurus (domestic cattle) is the source of this 804-nucleotide long non-coding RNA. Lineage: Eukaryota; Metazoa; Chordata; Mammalia; Artiodactyla; Bovidae. The record is from Ensembl.